Molecule: ribosomal RNA, 450 nt
Filed under: uncultured bacterium
Lineage: Bacteria
Description: partial 16S ribosomal RNA
Rfam family: Bacterial small subunit ribosomal RNA
Source: RNAcentral
GUGGGGAAUUUUGGACAAUGGGCGCAAGCCUGAUCCAGCAAUGCCGCGUGCAGGAAGAAGGCCUUCGGGUUGUAAACUGCUUUUGUACGGAACGAAACGGUCCUGGUUAAUACCCGGGGCUAAUGACGGUACCGUAAGAAUAAGCACCGGCUAACUACGUGCCAGCAGCCGCGGUAAUACGUAGGGUGCAAGCGUUAAUCGGAAUUACUGGGCGUAAAGCGUGCGCAGGCGGUGCUGUAAGACAGGCGUGAAAUCCCCGGGCUUAACCUGGGAAUUGCGCUUGUGACUGCAGUGCUGGAGUGCGGCAGAGGGGGAUGGAAUUCCGCGUGUAGCAGUGAAAUGCGUAGAUAUGCGGAGGAACACCGAUGGCGAAGGCAAUCCCCUGGGCCUGCACUGACGCUCAUGCACGAAAGCGUGGGGAGCAAACAGGAUUAGAUACCCUAGUAGUCC